RNAcentral lists this ribosomal RNA (463 nucleotides) under uncultured Sulfurimonas sp. RNAcentral describes it as "bacterial SSU rRNA". It matches the Rfam family "Bacterial small subunit ribosomal RNA", at positions 29 to 505 of the family's 1533-position model. The record is from RNAcentral. Lineage: Bacteria; Pseudomonadati; Campylobacterota; Epsilonproteobacteria; Campylobacterales; Sulfurimonadaceae.
AGUGAACGCUGGCGGCGUGCUUAACACAUGCAAGUCGAACGGUAACAGUAAGAAGCUUGCUUCUUAGCUGACGAGUGGCGCACGGGUGAGUAAUGCAUAGGUAACGUGCCCUUUAGUCUGGGAUAGCCACUGGAAACGGUGAUUAAUACCGGAUACUCCUUCUGAUUGAUUUUCAGAAGGGAAAGGUUUUUCGCUAAGGGAUCGGCCUAUGUCCUAUCAGGUAGUUGGUGAGGUAAGAGCUCACCAAGCCAAUGACGGGUAGCGGGUUUGAGAGGAUGAUCCGCCACACUGGUACUGAGACACGGACCAGACUCCUACGGGAGGCAGCAGUGAGGAAUAUUGCACAAUGGGGGAAACCCUGAUGCAGCAACGCCGCGUGGAGGAUGACGCAUUUCGGUGUGUAAACUCCUUUUAUCAGAGAAGAUAAUGACGGUAUCUGAUGAAUAAGCACCGGCUAACUCCG